This 1359-nucleotide ribosomal RNA is filed under the name metagenome. RNAcentral's name for it is "bacterial LSU rRNA". It matches the Rfam family "Bacterial large subunit ribosomal RNA", at positions 1561 to 2917 of the family's 2925-position model. The record is from RNAcentral.
GCUCUUGACACUCUUCGGAGGAGAUGGAGAAUCGAUGAUACUGUCGUGCCAAGAAAAGCCACUAAGUUUAUUAUAUGUUGCCCGUACCGUAACCGACACAGGUGGGUGGGAUGAGUAUUCUAAGGCGCGUGGAAGAACCCUCUUUAAGGAACUCUGCAAAAUAGCACCGUAUCUUCGGUAUAAGGUGUGCCUACUUUGGUAUAUGGACUUGCUCCAAAAAGCUAGAGAGGUUGCAACAAAGAGUCCCUCCCGACUGUUUACCAAAAACACAGCACUUUGCUAACACGUAAGUGGAUGUAUAAGGUGUGACGCCUGCCCGGUGCUCGAAGGUUAACUGAUGAUGUCAGCGCAAGCGAAGCAUUUGAUUGAAGCCCGAGUAAACGGCGGCCGUAACAAUAACGGUCCUAAGGUAGCGAAAUUCCUUGUCAGUUAAAUACUGACCUGCAUGAAUGGCGUAACGAGAUGGGAGCUGUCUCAAAGAGGGAUCCAGUGAAAUUGUAGUGGAGGUGAAAAUUCCUCCUACCCGCGGAAAGACGGAAAGACCCCGUGCACCUUUACUACAGCUUGACACUGUAGCUUGGAUAUUCAUGUGCAGGAUAGGUGGGAGGCUAUGAUGACUAGACGCAAGUAGAGUCGGAGCCAUCCUUGAGAUACCACCCUUGAAUAUUUGAGUUACUAACUGCGAUGAGUUAUCCUCAUUCAGGACAAUGUCUGGUGGGUAGUUUGACUGGGGCGGUCGCCUCCUAAAUAGUAACGGAGGCUUACAAAGGUUAGUUCAAAGCGGUUGGAAAUCGCUUGUUGAGUAUAAUGGCAUAAACUAGCUUGACUGUGAGACCUACAAGUCGAACAGAGACGAAAGUCGGUCAUAGUGAUCCGGUGGUUCUGUGUGGAAGGGCCAUCGCUCAAAGGAUAAAAGGUACGCCGGGGAUAACAGGCUGAUCUCCCCCAAGAGCUCACAUCGACGGGGAGGUUUGGCACCUCGAUGUCGGCUCAUCGCAUCCUGGGGCUGUAGUCGGUCCCAAGGGUAUGGCUGUUCGCCAUUUAAAGCGGUACGCGAGCUGGGUUCAGAACGUCGUGAGACAGUUCGGUCCCUAUCUUCCGUGGGCGUAGGAAAGUUGAAGAGAUUUGUCCCUAGUACGAGAGGACCGGGAUGAACCAACCACUGGUGUACCAAUUGUUCUGCCAAGAGCAUCGUUGGGUAGCCACGUUGGGAUGUGAUAAGAGCUGAAAGCAUCUAAGCUCGAAGCCAACUCUAAGAUGAACUUUCCCUGAAGUUCCCAGCAAGACUAGCUGGUUGAUAGGCUGGAUGUGUAAUGGGUGUAAGCCCUUUAGCUGACCAGUACUAAUAGAACGUUUGGC